CAUCAGUGUGGUUCGCAGGUGUUUGGAAAGUCUUCAGAAGCCUGUAUAGCAGAGGUCCCCGACCUAUGGAUUUAUAAAUUGAUAGACUACUACCACUGAAGGCAAGUUAAGAGAUGGUGGUGUCCUUCCAAGUCAUCUUUUUUAAGCUGUUGAGAAAUAAUUGAAGAUGUGAAGCAUCUGCUGCUUCGGUUCCCAGGCAGACCGAAUUUGUUGACGGCAACAUCACCGGAGAAACACAGACAUUUCUACUUGAAAGAUGGUCCAACGUUAAUGAGUCUUUAGGCAACUCUCUACGUGGAAAUAUGAUCUCUCCGAAAUAUAUGCUCACCCAGAGAGUGGAAGCCAAAGAGAAGCUGACCGCUUUAGGUGACGUUGCAAUCACGUCUGCAGGUUGACUCCGUGAAAGCUGCCGACCGACCGACCGACCGACCGACCGGGGAGAAAUGCAGCCUGUCUCUCCAAAAGCCGGGGUUGGAGGGACGAAGCCAGGUGAGUGAGUGUGCCUUUCAUCAGGCGUGUGCGUUUUCUCAGUGCUGGUUGCUCGGUUUUUCCUGGACUCCCGUGAAAUUUCUUUAUGCCAUUAAAUUCCAUUUGUGUGCUGGGAGCUAGGUUGACAGGGUUUGCUCUCCUCGCAACCAAAGGAAUUCUCACGGAUCAUUUUCACGCGUUCUCAGCAAGGCAGAAGUAUCCCAUUCCAGGACGGUUGGAUGAUGGACCUCAGUGAGUGAAUUAGACAAAACUCAAACCAUUCACUGGGCCCUGGGUCUUUUCAUUAUAUGCUAAGUAUCCCGGGCACUGUGUAAACAAAGAAUCGCAAGCAACUAGCAAGGGUACGUUGGGCGAUGAUGGAUGCAUGGCAGGCUAAGGAUGUGGGUGUUUUUGCUUGUAGCUGAACAACACAUUUAAUCCUGUUUGUGGUUUUUAAUAGUUGAGAAUAUGUUUCAAGGAAUGACUGAUUCCACCCAAAAGUGUUUAUUCAGGGAAAAUUCUGCAAUACAUUCAAACCUAGCCAACUGAUUAAAAGUCAACCCGUAUAACUCCAGGCUGCCUUGUUUUGUGAUUUUCUGCACGGUGGUGUAUGGCAAAGCGUGCGGUGACUACAAGGCAUUUAAUCACCAAAUUGUUUUUGGAGUUUUCUGUUGUACAGUUAACAGAAACUGGAAAAAUGGAAAGCCUUUCUGGUUUGUUUUUUGGGGGUUUUGUUUUGGUUUGGUUUUUUUCCUUUUUAGCUCAACUAAAUUUGAAGCAAUGAGAUGAGGCGCUGAAACUCUGUUGGCUGCUUUUGUAAGCGUCUAACUUCUGGGGAUGGCUAGAUGCCUCCACGCUGCGUUGAAACAGAUGUCUGGGACUAUGAACUGGAUAUUACGCAGGGAACGUGAAAGAGAACACAAAAUUGAACAAACCUUUUAUUUGACUCUUGGGCUCUCCUCUCAUCUGCGAAAACAUGAUAAACAUGGCCCAACAUCACUACAGUGUUAUCGGGAAAAUUAGGCGACAUAAUUGAGCAAUGGUUUUGUAAAUUCUGAGAUGUAAAACAAAUGCUACUCUACAUGAUUUUAAGUACUGAUUCUCGCUGUCCCCUAUGGUGAUUCAGAUAAGCUUCAAAAGCAAUUAAUUACAUACAAAUUGGCAUUAUUGCCUCUCAAAAUAUUUUGAAGAACCAUUUCAGGGCCACAGUUUUGAAGACCAGAACCCAAGCACUCAGGAAUGCGGGUGUUUAUCUUAGCACAGGGCUGACUGCCCGUCCAACAAGCAUCAGUCAACAGUGAAAUAGUGUUUUCCUAGUGUCCUUCCCCUUCCGUUGCCAUAGUAAAGAGCACCACGGCACAAUCCCCAUCUGUGGUCUCACUACUUGGUUUCAAGCAGUCCUCCUCUGUCGGAUAUUACUCAUGCAGACGGAUUAUAAUGUGAGACUCUCUUACCCAUGAGUAGCACACAACCUGACAACCACAAUUCUAUUACCAAAACCAAAGGGAGCAAUUCUCAAAUGUUGCCUGCUUUCACUCCGGUCCACAAACUAGACCCCUUUGCAAAUUUAUAUGAUUGAUCGAUCCGCUGGGUGAAAUGAACUAACUCCACCUGGCUUACGGGUGGUUUAAAGUAACUUGCCAAAACCGUGUCCGCUUACGUUAUUUUUAACUGCAUCUUCUGGGUGGCUUUUGUGUUUUCAUGCUGGCUUAUUAAGCAGAAUUCAUAUUCAUGUCUCCUUUUAAAAGUAACUGAUAAGAAUAAAUGUAGUACAGAGCUGGAGUUUGGCUCAGUGCUUGGGUCUACAUUAGCUUGUAUUAUGCAUGAGCUUGGGAGCAGACUUGAGAACAAACUCUUAGCCUGGAUAAAAAUGUAAAUGUUGGAAAGACAGACAUGGUUUGGUAACAGCUGCUUUUAAAUAAAAUAAAUUUAUUAUCCCCCAUGAGUCUAUAUUUACUAAUUGUAUUGCUUUGUAUUUGUUCUGUACUUAUUACAAGCUAUAAAUCUGUUUAUCAUUUGAUGUUAUCAUACCCAUGUCAAACACUUUAACAAUUGCAUAAUAUACUAUCUUAUUUUUUUACUUACACAUGUUUCAGUU
Non-coding RNA from Microcebus murinus (gray mouse lemur), 2566 nucleotides. The record is from RefSeq and is a predicted model, not a curated record. NCBI's taxonomy places the organism in Eukaryota, Metazoa, Chordata, Mammalia, Primates, Cheirogaleidae.